AGCAACAGGCAGGCUUAUGAACUAAAUACACACCUGAUUUGGUUAUCUAGCUUGAGAGAAACUUCUGCCAUCCAGUUGGGUAAACGAAUGAGCUUUUGAGAGAAUGAACUAGUAUGUGAACAGAAGUGAACGCAAGCAGCCUUGGCUUCUGCAGACCACCACCAACUAGGGCUGCUAGGCAGUGAUGGUGACUAUUUUCAACAGACUGCAAAAACCACAGUGAAUGUCAAAUUCCUUCCAAAGGAAAGGAUUGAUUCUGUUAUUAGAGGCAGGGAGACAUAAGCAGUUCUGAUGUGAGAAAACGGAAGAGGCUAAAGAGGAAAGUGAUACACAAUGGGAGAAAAGACCCAACCCUGCCCGUUGUCUUUGAAGAGGACGGAAGGGGCCAUGAACCAGGAAUAAUCCACAAUUCUAGCAUUUGAAAUCUCGAUAUUUUCCUAUGUGACCCCCUUUACAAAAAUCUCCAGAGGUACACACCAAGCACAGGGAGGUUGUGAUAAAGAGAGCUAAGUCAUGGGCCUUGUGGCAAGAAGAUCUGCUGCUCCGUUUGGACCCCCUUGGGCCCCCCAUGCAGGAGGCAGGUUAUCACCUUAUAUUCAGUCUUUGCAUUAGAAAACGAAGCAACAUUGUUCACUAUGAGCAGGAACAACAGCUGCAGUGGAGUCUGGACACAGGGACAGAAAUGCC
Molecule: long non-coding RNA, 687 nt
Filed under: Mus caroli (Ryukyu mouse)
Lineage: Eukaryota; Metazoa; Chordata; Mammalia; Rodentia; Muridae
Description: lncRNA (MGP_CAROLIEiJ_G0003093.1)
Source: RNAcentral